CCUACGGGUGGCAGCAGUGGGGAAUAUUGCACAAUGGGGGAAACCCUGAUGCAGCAACGCCGCGUGAGUGAAGAAGUAUUUCGGUAUGUAAAGCUCUAUCAGCAGGGAAGAAGAUGACGGUACCUGAGUCAGAAGCCCCGGCUAACUACGUGCCAGCAGCCGCGGUAAUACGUAGGGGGCAAGCGUUAUCCGGAUUUACUGGGUGUAAAGGUAGCGUAGACGGUUAAGUAAGUCUGGAGUGAAAGACCGGGGCCCAACCCCGGGACUGCUCUGGAAACUAUUGAACUUGAGUGCAGGAGAGGUAAGCGGAAUUCCGAGUGUAGCGGUGAAAUGCGUAGAUAUUAGGAGGAACACCAGUGGCGAAGGCGGCUUACUGGACUGUAACUGACGUUGAGGCUCGAAAGCGUGGGGAGCAAACAGGAUUAGAUACCCUAGUAGUC
RNAcentral lists this ribosomal RNA (440 nucleotides) under uncultured bacterium. Its description in RNAcentral is "partial 16S ribosomal RNA". It matches the Rfam family "Bacterial small subunit ribosomal RNA", at positions 338 to 795 of the family's 1533-position model. The record is from RNAcentral.